AAAGUGGAUUAGCGGCGGACGGGUGAGUAACACGUGAGUAACCUGUCUUAGACAUUGGGAUAGCCUCGGGAAACCGGGAUUAAUACCAAAUAAAAUCAUAAUGACACAUGUCAUAACGAUCAAAACUCCGGUGGUCUAAGAUGGACUCGCGUCCCAUUAGCUAGUUGGUAGAGUAAAAGCCUACCAAGGCGACGAUGGGUAGCCGGCCUGAGAGGGUGAACGGCCACAUUGGAACUGAGAAACGGUCCAA
Molecule: ribosomal RNA, 250 nt
Filed under: uncultured Eubacteriales bacterium
Lineage: Bacteria; Bacillati; Bacillota; Clostridia; Eubacteriales
Description: uncultured Clostridiales bacterium partial 16S ribosomal RNA
Rfam family: Bacterial small subunit ribosomal RNA
Source: RNAcentral